UCUCCGUCUCUCUCGGUUGCUGGGUACCGAGUUAACCUUCACAGUCACGUGUGCUUGACUGUACCUUCAGAACUCUGGACUCUAGGACCCCACCCCUCGCGUCCCCUCGUUCUGUUUCGGGGACAGACUUCUGCAGGUCAUGUCUCUCCAAUUCCAGGGUCUACAGCAGGAUGGAAGCUGGUUCCUCUCGUCCCCUUCCAGUUGUGGCAGCCUGGACCGCAAGACAAGGGCAUCAUGGGACCUGGAACUGCAUGGCACCCAAGGACCUUGACACCUGCCUCUUGCCAUCCACUCUGCAGCCCCUAACCACACAGCCUCUGUCCCUGCCAACCACUAAUAUGAUGUAACGUAUUAGCACCCUGUGGCCACCAUUACAGGGUGCCCAAACUGGGUGUCUUGUAAAAACAGGAAUUCAUUCUGUCAGAGUCCUAGUGUUGGUAGGGCCUUGCUCUUGCCAGAGCUUUGAGGGGAAGACCUGUCAUUGUGCCCACUGGUUCCUUCAUCUCCAU
Molecule: long non-coding RNA, 509 nt
Filed under: Rattus norvegicus (Norway rat)
Lineage: Eukaryota; Metazoa; Chordata; Mammalia; Rodentia; Muridae
Description: long non-coding RNA NONRATT033036
Source: RNAcentral